UGCGUAGGUGACAAGCGUUGUCCGGAUUUACUGGGCGUAAAGAGCGCGCAGGCGGUCGUUCAAGUCGAGUGUGAAAGCCCCCGGCUCAACUGGGGAGGGUCACUCGAUACUGAUCGACUCGAAGGCAGGAGAGGGAAGUGGAAUUCCCGGUGUAGUGGUGAAAUGCGUAGAUAUCGGGAGGAACACCAGUGGCGAAGGCGACUUCCUGGCCUGUUCUUGACGCUGAGGCGCGAAAGCUAGGGGAGCAAACGGG
RNAcentral lists this ribosomal RNA (253 nucleotides) under uncultured bacterium. Its description in RNAcentral is "partial 16S ribosomal RNA". It matches the Rfam family "Bacterial small subunit ribosomal RNA", at positions 524 to 776 of the family's 1533-position model. The record is from RNAcentral.